CGUGUAGGCGGUUGCUUAAGUCUGAUGUGAAAGCCCUGGGCUCAACCCGGGAAGUGCAUUGGAAACUGGGCAACUUGAGUACGGGAGAGGAUAGUGGAAUUCCGAGUGUAGGGGUGAAAUCCGUAGAUAUUCGGAGGAACACCGGUGGCGAAGGCGGCUAUCUGGACCGAUACUGACGCUGAGACGCGAAAGCGUGGGGAGCAAACA
Molecule: ribosomal RNA, 207 nt
Filed under: uncultured delta proteobacterium
Lineage: Bacteria; Deltaproteobacteria
Description: partial 16S ribosomal RNA
Rfam family: Bacterial small subunit ribosomal RNA
Source: RNAcentral